AUAAGAUCCGUAGUCGAAAGGGAAACAGCCCAGACCACCAGUUAAGGUCCCCAAAUAUAUGUUAAGUGGAAAAGGAUGUGGGGUUGCUUAGACAACCAGGAUGUUGGCUUAGAAGCAGCCACCAUUGAAAGAGUGCGUAAUAGCUCACUGGUCGAGUGACCCCGCGCCGAAAAUGUACCGGGGCUAAACAUAUUACCGAAACUGUGGAUGAACCUCUUUAGAGGUUCGUGGUAGGAGAGCGUUCUAAGGGCGGUGAAGUCAGACCGGAAGGACUGGUGGAGCGCUUAGAAGUGAGAAUGCCGGUAUGAGUAGCGAAAGAAGGGUGAGAAUCCCUUCCACCGAAUAUCUAAGGUUUCCUGAGGAAGGCUCGUCCGCUCAGGGUUAGUCGGGACCUAAGCCGAGGCCGAUAGGCGUAGGCGAUGGACAACAGGUAGAGAUUCCUGUACCAGUGCUAAUUGUUUAACCGAUGGGGUGACACAGAAGGAUAGGGAAUCGCACGAAUGGAAAUGUGCGUCCAAGCAGUGAGUGUGAGAAGUAGGCAAAUCCGCUUCUCGCGAAGCAUGAGCUGUGAUGGGGAAGGAAAUUAAGUACGGAAGUUCCUGAUUUCACGCUGUCAAGAAAAGCCUCUAGGAAGAGUAGUACUGCC
Molecule: ribosomal RNA, 646 nt
Filed under: Listeria monocytogenes
Lineage: Bacteria; Bacillati; Bacillota; Bacilli; Caryophanales; Listeriaceae
Description: partial 23S ribosomal RNA
Rfam family: Bacterial large subunit ribosomal RNA
Source: RNAcentral